GGAGUAUUUAUUUAUCCUUUAAAAUUCAGAAAGCAAGAAAAACUUCAAGCCAAAAAUAAGCAUUCUCAAGGCACUCCACCGCUCCACAACCAACUUCAUUAAUUACCUCACAAUCUAACAAGAGCUACCACAUCUUGGCAUUACAAACUAUUCAUUCGUUAUUGUAAAUUAAACAUACAGAAACGGACAGCAAAGCUUCGUCCCGGUAAGCUUGGACAAUGAAGCAAACUGAUGCGAUUAGCUCAAAAUCAGAAUGCAGGGCCGACCUGCUCAUCUAUGCAUAUGUGCCAACUUUAUUUUUUUGCAGGAAAACAAAACGCAAAAGGUAUAAUGUGCCUUUUCCCUUCAUUUAUAAAAUAAAACUGACUUCAUAUAUACACAGAGUGAAGCUUGUAGGUAUUUGAAAAAAGGCAAAAAUGAG
This 421-nucleotide unclassified non-coding RNA is filed under the name Hevea brasiliensis (rubber tree). The record is from RNAcentral. Lineage: Eukaryota; Viridiplantae; Streptophyta; Magnoliopsida; Malpighiales; Euphorbiaceae.